RNAcentral lists this ribosomal RNA (253 nucleotides) under uncultured Lactobacillus sp. RNAcentral's name for it is "partial 16S ribosomal RNA". It matches the Rfam family "Bacterial small subunit ribosomal RNA", at positions 524 to 776 of the family's 1533-position model. The record is from RNAcentral. Lineage: Bacteria; Bacillati; Bacillota; Bacilli; Lactobacillales; Lactobacillaceae.
UACGUAGGGAGCAAGCGUUAUCCGGAUUUACUGGGCGUAAAGGGAGCGUAGGCGGCCUGCCAAGUCUGAUGUGAAAUACCGGGGCUCAACCGGAGAAUUGCAUCAGAAACUGUUGAACUUGAGUGCAGAAGAGGAGAGUGGAACUCCAUGUGUAGCGGUGGAAUGCGUAGAUAUAUGGAAGAACACCAGUGGCGAAGGCGGCUCUCUGGUCUGCAACUGACGCUGAGGCUCGAAAGCAUGGGUAGCGAACAGG